RNAcentral lists this unclassified non-coding RNA (253 nucleotides) under plant metagenome. Its description in RNAcentral is "partial contains small subunit ribosomal RNA, internal transcribed spacer 1, and 5.8S ribosomal RNA". The record is from RNAcentral.
UUUCCGUAGGUGAACCUGCGGAGGGAUCAUUAACGAGUUAGGGUCUUUUAGGCCCGACCGCCCAACCCUAUGUUUAUUGAACCUCUGUGGCUUCCGCGGACCCGUCUCACGGCCGCCGGAGGAUCCCUGCGAGGCGUCCCCGGGCCAGCGUCCGCGGAUGGCCAACCCACUAAACUCUGAAUGAAACGUGGCAUAUGUCUAAGUCUAUGAUUAAAUUAAAGCAAAACUUUCAACAACGGAUCUCUUGGUUCUG